RNAcentral lists this unclassified non-coding RNA (337 nucleotides) under soil metagenome. RNAcentral describes it as "partial contains 5.8S ribosomal RNA, internal transcribed spacer 2, and large subunit ribosomal RNA". The stretch from base 1 to 120 matches the Rfam family "5.8S ribosomal RNA", at positions 35 to 154 of the family's 154-position model. The record is from RNAcentral.
GAUGAAGAACGCAGCGAAAUGCGAUAAGUAGUGUGAAUUGCAGAAUUCAGUGAAUCAUCGAAUCUUUGAACGCGCAUUGCGCCCCUUGGUAUUCCAUGGGGCAUGCCUGUUCGAGCGUCAUUUGUACCCUCAAGCUUUGCUUGGUGUUGGGUGUUUGUCCCGCGUUGCGCGUGGACUCGCCUUAAAGCGAUUGGCAGCCGGCAUAUUGGCCUUGGAGCGCAGCACAUUUUGCGCUUCUAGUCAUGAAUGUUGGCGUCCAUUAAGCCUAUACAUUUGCUCUUGACCUCGGAUCAGGUAGGGAUACCCGCUGAACUUAAGCAUAUCAAUAAGCGGAGGA